Paramormyrops kingsleyae is the source of this 253-nucleotide long non-coding RNA. RefSeq lists it as uncharacterized. The record is from RefSeq and is a predicted model, not a curated record. NCBI's taxonomy places the organism in Eukaryota, Metazoa, Chordata, Actinopteri, Osteoglossiformes, Mormyridae.
CACCAGCAUGUGAAGCCCUUCAGGAAUCACUGAUGGUUCAGGCUCUCUGGCAGGUAGCUGAAGAGGCAAGCAUGAAUGACUGGAUCUGGGUAACGAGAAGGAAGAAUGGAUGACUUACAAGGGAUCGGGACAGUAUUGUGGCUGGGGUAGUCUCCUCCCCUUCAGCAGGCUUUCGAUGGCCAUCCACUUGACAGGCAGCUUUGCUUUCCGGUGGUCCUGGAUACUGUAAUACUCCUUAUCAAAGACAUCCCGU